AAUAAAUUGUUUAAAUUUAAUUUUUUUUAUAUUUAAUUAAAAUGUAAUUUUUUUUGUUUUUAAUAUUUUUAUAAAAUUUUAUUUUUUUUAGUUUAUUUUACUGAAAGGGUAAAUUAAUUUAUUUUUAAGAAGAAUACUUUUUUGUAGUACCUUUUGUAUCAGGGUUAAUUAAUUUUUUUAAUUUAUAAAUUAUUUUCUCGAAUAUUCAAGAUUUAAAUUAGUUUGUUUAUUAAUGUUAAAAAAUUAAGAUAAAAAUUUAAUUUGGUUUUGAAAUGAAAUUUCGUUUGGGUUAAUAUCUAGUUAACUAAGAAUUUAAUUAAAUUAAGGAUUACUUUUUGAAUAAUUAUUUUUAAUUUUUUCAUUUUGGUUUCUAAUUUUAGUGGGGAUAAUCUUGUUAAAUAAUUAUAAUUUUUUGUGUUUACAUUAUUUUUUUUAGAUUUAAAAUUUGUCUUAAUUAAAAGUUUGUAAAAAAUUUAAAUAUUUAAUUUUUAGUUAAAUUUAUUUUUUUAUUAGUUAUUUUAAAUUGGUUUUUAUUUAUUUUAAAAUGAUUGAAUUAGUAAAUUUAUAAUUAAAAUUUAAUUUAUGAACUUGGCAAAAAUUUGUUUUUCACCUGUUUAACAAAAACAUGUCCUUAAGUUUUUUAUUUUAGGUCAAUCCUGCUCAGUGAAUUAAUUUAACAGCCGCAGUAUUUUAACUGUGCUAAGGUAGCAUAAUAAUUAGUCUUUUAAUUGAGGUCUAGAAUGAAUGGUUAGAUGAAAAAACAUCUUUAUUAAUUAAAUUUUUUUGAAUUUUAUUUUUGAUUUAAAAAGAUCAAAUUUUUUUGAGUGACGAUAAGACCCUAUAGAUCUUAAAAAUUUAAUUUAUUUUUUUUUUUGUUGUAUUUAUUUAAAUAUAUUGAAAAUUUUUUUGUUGGGGUGACAGUUAAAAUUUUAAACUUUAAUUAUUUUUUACAAAUAUUUUUGUUUAUUUUGAUCCUUUUUUUAGAUAGUAAGAAAAAGAUACCUUAGGGAUAACAGCGUGAUGUAUUUGGAGAGUUCUUAUCAAUAAAUAUGAUUGCGACCUCGAUGUUGGAUUAAUUUAAAGUUGUGGGGUAGGUUUUACAAUUUUAGGUCUGUUCGACCUUUAAAAAAUUACAUGAUCUGAGUUCAAACCGGUGUAAACCAGGUUGGUUUCUAUCUUCAUUUUUUUUUAAUUAGUACGAAAGGACUUUUAAAAUAUAAAAUUUAUUUUUU
RNAcentral lists this ribosomal RNA (1232 nucleotides) under Symplanella nigricans. RNAcentral describes it as "16S ribosomal RNA". The stretch from base 1009 to 1167 matches the Rfam family "Archaeal large subunit ribosomal RNA", at positions 2544 to 2703 of the family's 2987-position model. The record is from RNAcentral. Lineage: Eukaryota; Metazoa; Arthropoda; Insecta; Hemiptera; Caliscelidae.